RNAcentral lists this unclassified non-coding RNA (278 nucleotides) under Hevea brasiliensis (rubber tree). Lineage: Eukaryota; Viridiplantae; Streptophyta; Magnoliopsida; Malpighiales; Euphorbiaceae. The record is from RNAcentral.
CGAAAGGGCAAGCCUCGUCAUUUUGUCUACCCCAUGCCUUUCCUUUAACUUCGCCCACCCUUCAAAAGACCAGCAAGCGGGAGACGUUGAUGUAGGCUUAGUCAGAGGGAUAUGGAGAUUGGAGAGCGAUAGUUUGCCAGAGAGAGCUUUUCCUUUUUGGUGGAUUGAUAGUGCGUUGAUGCUAAAGUGUGAAGGAUAGAUAAGAGAAAAAAAAUGACGGGGAUGGUGAAAGAACAGAAUCUGGAGGAGCAAAUAGAGAAGCAAAUGGGGUGCAUGGC